UCCCUGUUACCAGGGCAGUCUAGCUAGAAAAAUACAACUAACUAUAAGGGUUGCGCUCGUUGAUGGACUUAACCAAACAUCUCACGACACGAGCUGACGACGGCCAUGCAUCACCUGUCACUUGGUUCCAAAGGCACUCUCUCCUUUCGGAGAAAUUCCAAGGAUGUCAAGCCUGGGUAAGGUUCUUCGCUUACCAUCGAAUUAAACAACACGCUCCACCGCUUGUGCGGGUCCCCGUCAAUUCCUUUAUGUUUUAGUCUUGCGACCGUACUCCACAGGCGGGAUGCUUAACGCGUUAGCUUCGCUACGUCGCGCAGAACCGAAGUCCCACACCUAGUACCCACCGUUUACGGCGUGGACUAC
This 363-nucleotide unclassified non-coding RNA is filed under the name uncultured bacterium. Its description in RNAcentral is "contains 16S-23S intergenic spacer region". The record is from RNAcentral.